GACGAACGCUGGCGGCGUGCUUAACACAUGCAAGUCGAACGGAAAGGCCCUGCUUUUGUGGGGUGCUCGAGUGGCGAACGGGUGAGUAACACGUGAGUAACCUGCACUUGACUUUGGGAUAACUUCAGGAAACUGGGGCUAAUACCGGAUAUGAGCUCCUGCUGCAUGGUGGGGGUAGGAAAGUUUCGGCUGUUGGGGAUGGUCUCGCGGCUUAUCAGCUUGUUGGUGAGGUAGUGGCUUACCAAGGCUUUGACGGGUAGCCGGCCUGAGAGGGUUGCCGGCCACAUUGGGACUGAGAUACGGCCCAGACUCCUACGGGAGGCAGCAGUGGGGAAUAUUGCACAAUGGGCGGAAGCCUGAUGCAGCAACGCCGCGUGCGGAAUGACGGCCUUCGGGUUGUAAACCGCUUUCGCCUGUGACGAAGCGUGAGUGACGGUAAUUGGUAAAGAAGCACCGGCUAACUACGUG
This 468-nucleotide ribosomal RNA is filed under the name uncultured bacterium. Its description in RNAcentral is "partial 16S ribosomal RNA". It matches the Rfam family "Bacterial small subunit ribosomal RNA", at positions 28 to 507 of the family's 1533-position model. The record is from RNAcentral.